CGACUGUCGCUAGCUGUAUGCAGUCACGCUUCGUAUGCAUCGACUGCCUCUGCUCGUCUGUUGUUCGCGGACUUAUAUGCUGUUCCAAGAAUAGCCCAGCAGUUUCAUGGUCAAACCUUAUCUCGUGGAAACGCGGGCACGGGUCGAUUAAACUCAGCUAUGGUUGAGUUGGAUCGUCCCGUUAAACUGAAUAACUGUAAUAACUCAAGAGUAAUACAUGCCUGAAGGCCCUGACUCUUCGUUGUUCUCAGCGGAGGGAAUGGGUGCCACUAUUAGAUCAGAAGCCAACCGUGUGGGGUCGUCAUGGCCUUGCAUGUCGUCCCUUCUGGUGACUCUGGAUAAUUGUUACAGAUCGCAGUCCGGCCUUGAGUCGGCGACCGGGUCCUUCAAAUGUCUGCCCUAUCCAACUUUCGAUGGUAGGUGACCUGCCUACCAUGGUGAUAACGGGUAACGGGGAAUCAGGGUUCGAUUUCCGGAGAGGGAGCCUGAGAAACGGCUACCACUUCCAAGGAAGGCAGCAGGCGCGCAAAUUACCCACUCCCGGUACGGGGAGGUGGUGACGAAAAAUACCGAUGCGGGACUCCUAAAAGAGGCUCCGUAAUCGGAAUGAGUGAACUUUAAAUCCUUUAACGAGGAUCAAUUGGAGGGCAAGUCUGGUGCCAGCAGCCGCGGUAACUCCAGCUCCAAUAGCGUAUAUUAAAGUUGCUGCAGUUAAAAAGCUUGUAGUUGGAUCUCGGUGCAUCACUGUUGCCUGUUAGUAAUUGGUGCAGUGUUAACGGCAGUUCGUGCAUGGGUUUCCUGUGUUGCGGAUUGUCGGCUGUGUCAAGCUAGCAGUGUGGCGGUGUCACCUUUCAGCCAUGUCUGUGGUGAAAUACCCGCAGGUGUAGGCGAGUGUCAGGCGGUGCAUGGCAUACGCUGUGUCCGUCGGCUCGCUUGCAUGCCUUUGGAUGCCUUUAACCGGGUGUCUUUGGGCGGAUGGCACGUUUACUUUGAACAAAUUUGAGUGCUCAAACCAGGCCGAUGUUGCCUGAAAACUUUUGCAUGGAAUAAUGGAAUAGGACUCCGUUUCUAUUUCGUUGGUUUUUGGCUCCGAAGUAAUGAUCAAUAGCGACAGGCGGCGACGGUUUGUACUGCGACGCCAGAGGUGAAAUUCUAUGGACCGUCAGCCAGACCACUAAAGCGAAGAGCAGUUCGUUCAAGG
Molecule: ribosomal RNA, 1201 nt
Filed under: Parapenaeopsis stylifera
Lineage: Eukaryota; Metazoa; Arthropoda; Malacostraca; Decapoda; Penaeidae
Description: bacterial SSU rRNA
Rfam family: Eukaryotic small subunit ribosomal RNA
Source: RNAcentral